ACUCCUACGGGAGGCAGCAGUGGGGAAGUAUUGGACAAUGGGGAAACCCGUACGAUCCAGCAAUGCCGCGUGAGUGAUGAAGGCCUAGGGUUGGUAAAGACUCUUUUACCUAGGGAGUGAUAAUGACAGUACCUGGAGAAUAAGCUCCGGCUAACUCCGUGCCAGCAGCCGCGGUAAUACGGAGGGAGCUAGCGUUGUUCGGAAUUACUGGGCGUAAAGCGCACGUAGGCGGUUACUCAAGUCAGAGGUGAAAGCCCGGGGCUCAACCCCGGAACUGCCUUUGAAACUAGGUAACUAGAAUCCUGGAGAGGUGAGUGGAAUUCCGAGUGUAGAGGUGAAAUUCGUAGAUAUUCGGAAGAACACCAGUGGCGAAGGCGGCUCACUGGACAGGUAUUGACGCUGAGGUGCGAAAGCGUGGGAGCAAACAGGAUUAGAUACCCUGGUAGGAUAGCG
RNAcentral lists this ribosomal RNA (453 nucleotides) under uncultured bacterium. RNAcentral describes it as "bacterial SSU rRNA". It matches the Rfam family "Bacterial small subunit ribosomal RNA", at positions 335 to 799 of the family's 1533-position model. The record is from RNAcentral.